GACGUAGGGCGCGAGCGUUGUCCGGAUUUAUUGGGCGUAAAGAGCUCGUAGGCGGCUUGUCGCGUCGACUGUGAAAUCCCGCGGCUCAACUGCGGGUCUGCAGUCGAUACGGGCAGACUAGAGGUAGGUAGGGGAGAAUGGAAUUCCCGGUGUAGCGGUGAAAUUCGUAGAUAUCGGGAGGAACACCAGUGGCGAAGGCGGCGAUCUGGGUCGAUACUGACGCUGAGGUGCGAAAGCGUGGGGAGCAAACAGG
RNAcentral lists this ribosomal RNA (253 nucleotides) under uncultured bacterium. Its description in RNAcentral is "partial 16S ribosomal RNA". It matches the Rfam family "Bacterial small subunit ribosomal RNA", at positions 524 to 776 of the family's 1533-position model. The record is from RNAcentral.